RNAcentral lists this long non-coding RNA (597 nucleotides) under Triticum aestivum (bread wheat). Its description in RNAcentral is "long non-coding RNA (TAES_LNC024784)". Lineage: Eukaryota; Viridiplantae; Streptophyta; Magnoliopsida; Poales; Poaceae. The record is from RNAcentral.
GGCUUGUACACUCCACCGUCUAAAAUAAAUCUAGCCAAAAGGUGGUUGAGAGACAUUUUGUGGUGCCACUAUUUUCUUCCAGGUUUAGGCGCUUUGACUCUACUAACUUUAGCUAGGUUUGUAUCAUCUGAUUUUGCACGCUACCUUUCAUUAGUGUAUUUGCAAGCUAUAGAGAAUUGCCGAUCAACAUGUUAAAGUCGCAUCCUCUUAUACUUUGCUGCUUAUUGCUAUGUUCACUUCAGUAAGGUGUAAUUUGGUGUUCUUUUAUUUCUUCUGCACAGAUGCUAUUCAGUGCAACCUUCAUGUGCACCUUGACUUCUAUGUAUGAUCUUGUACAUAAUUUGCUCUUUUUUAUUAAUGUGUGGUUUUAUCGGUUAAUUCCCUCUCUUUUUACUUUUCAUGUCAGGUGCUACAUGUGCUUUCUGUAAUGGCAAGGAUAAAUUACUACCCUAUUUCGGUACAAUGUAGAUCAGAGAUUCAUGUCCUAAAAUGAUUUGCUCGGCUUCAUGCAAUUGAACUGUUAUCGCAUAUUUACGAGCCCCUGGCAAGCCGGCAUUUAGGUCUCCGACUAAAGCUCCUCCUCACCACCACGGGUGC